RNAcentral lists this unclassified non-coding RNA (1549 nucleotides) under Hevea brasiliensis (rubber tree). The record is from RNAcentral. Lineage: Eukaryota; Viridiplantae; Streptophyta; Magnoliopsida; Malpighiales; Euphorbiaceae.
GACAAACAGAAUAGUUGGAACAUUGUAAGUAUAUCUACGUUGCCAGGAGGGAGACAAAUAAAGAGUCAAUGCUAAUAAUACCUUUUUUUUGCAUUCAUGACUAUUUUCAUUGUCUUUCAUAUGCAGUGGCUAUAUGUCACCAGAAUAUGUGAUGUUUGGAAAAUUUUCAACAAAAUCUGAUGUCUUUAGUUUCGGAGUCAUAUUAUUGGAGAUCAUUACAGGGAAGAAGAACAAUAGCUAUUUUCAAGAGGAUUCUUAUAUGAGCAUGACAGGCCAUGUAAGUUAAAGAUGUAUAUAGGUAAAAUUAUUCUAAUAAUCAUUGAAUUUUACACUUACUUUCAUUAUGAUCAUAGAACUUCAAUUUGCCAUAAUUUGGUCUCUGAAUUUUAAUUUUAUUAGAGUUAGUUUACUUUAUUCCAAAGAGAAUUCCACAGGAAAAAUCUGAUGUGAUAUUCUAUUUAACGUUAAUUUCUGCAGGGAACAGAGAAAUUAAAAUUUUUUGUUAUUUGAUUUUUAGUCUACAUGUCAUGUUUAGCAUUAUAGAAUGCUAAGUUACACUUAAUGUUUUUUUCUGAAUAAAUAACUUAAUGUAUUCACCCAAUCAAUAAGAAGCUAGCCCAUCAUGAUAUUAGAGAGAAAUACUUAUCUAGACCCGGUUUAUUAUGGACCCAAGAUACAAACAUGUAGGAUCUAUAGUGGGUCCCACAAUACAUAUUGUGUCUUGGGUCCAUGGUGGACCAAGUCUAGGCAAGAAAAAUCCUAUAUUAGGUAGAACUUGUCAUGUUUUUGGAUAAGACACUAUGAUUUUAAAUAAUAUAUCAGCUGUAUAUUGGAUAGAUGCACACAACUAAAUGCGAACAUUCUCAUUGAAAUCUUGUUAGAAUCAGGUGGAAGUAACCUAAUUGUGACAAAAUUAAAGUUCAGUAAUCGAAUUAUGAUAAAUUGAAAUUUGGUGAUUACAGUGAAAAUUAAUAACAAAGUUUACUGAACAACUAACAUUAGAAUAACUUAUUAGUGAACAUGCUUUUAAUACGUUAUCUUCCAAACUUAUUAUACAACAAUGCUGAUAUACAGUUCAUCUUUUGUAUGAUAAUGUUAUGAAUUGCAUAGAUAUGGCAUUCAUGGAGAGAAAAUACACCAUUGGAGAUAGUUGAUUCAUCUCUAAGGGAGUCAUGUCCUCCUCAUGAAGUAUUGAGAUGCAUCCAGAUUGGGCUCUUAUGUGUGCAAGAAGAUAUCUUGGACAGACCAACAAUGUCAGCAGUUGUUUUAAUGUUGAAUAGUGAAACCACUCUUCCUCCUCCAGGACAGCCUGCAUUCAUUCUUAGAAAGUCUUAUAAUAGUUCUAGCUCAUUUGCAAAAAGAGAUGGAUUUUAUUCUGUGGAUGAGGAAACAAUUACCGAGGUUGUAUGUCGCUAAAUAUAUUUUUCCAUUAGUUAUACACAAAUUUUUAGUAUAAAAUUUGUAGACUAAUUUUUAUAACUCGUCCCUAAACUUUACUCUGUGAUUCACUUUCCUCUGACUUCAACUCAUUAUUAAAAAAUUCCUAAAC